Dromaius novaehollandiae (emu) is the source of this 4222-nucleotide RNA transcript. RefSeq lists it as uncharacterized. NCBI's taxonomy places the organism in Eukaryota, Metazoa, Chordata, Aves, Casuariiformes, Dromaiidae. The transcript is spliced from 4 exons. The record is from RefSeq and is a predicted model, not a curated record.
CGCAGGUGUGCUCAGGUGGAGGUCAGACCAGGCUGGCUUUGCUCAGGCUGAGGCAGGUUUGUCUGGGCCCCCGUUUGCUAAAGAUCCCCAGGGUCCUGGUGGCAGGGGUAUUCCUGGGGGCUGCUCCUUUGGAGGCUGUGAUGGUAGUGCCUGUAUCCCAUUGCAAAAGCCUCGGGAGGAUUUCCUUGGUAACUGGAGCAUGCACGGUGCCCUAGUUGUGUGCGGGACAGUGGGGGGUGCCAGUGGCCCCCCAUCACAGUCCCCUGUGGCUGUGCAGUCCAUGGGGAGCUGCAGGGGACAGCACAGCAACCCCCCUUCCCAGACGUGGGGAAGAUCCCCGUGCCAGCUGCCGUGCUGUGCCUGGGCCGUGUGGUGGGCCUGGCACCAAACCAGGCUUGGGUGACCCAGUGCAGGGUAAAGCCACGUCUGCAGAGACAGCUGUGGGCCACCCUCUGCUCGGCCAUGGCUGGCGUCUUAUAUGCAGCGGCGAUCGUGACCCGCGACCAGCAGCCUGCACGCGUCCUGAGGGCCAUGCCCUGGCUCCUGAUCGCCCUGGGCUCGGCUACGCUGGACAUGGCCAUCCCAUUUGUUGCUUGUAUGGUGAGAAACCAGAGGGACUGGCAGCUUGUGUCAGAGAUUCCUGAUGCCUGGCCGUUCCUGGCUGGAGAGGAAGAGGAAGAUGAUGAAGGAGCAGAGAAAGAAGAGGUUUUUCUCUCUCUGUGUGGCUGAAGGGCAGAGUGGAGUGCUGCCCUGCUUGGCAGUGUUGCUGCUUGGCCUUUCCAAGGAAGGUGGAGGGAGUAUUGUGGGCCAUGGCCCCAUGGAAGAGUGGUAUGUAGAGCCAGCAUGCUGCAGGGCACUGCUGGCACUGGGAACGACAGCAUCGCUCCAGGGCCUUGGCUACAUGUAUUUGCCUGCUAAGCUAACCUGAGAGCACCUCAAGACCAGUUUGCAGCUCUCAGAUAUUCCUCCUUGCUAAAUUGUCCCUUUGCCCCAGCACCUGGGGUCAGUGCGAGAGGCAGAGUCUGGCAGGGGUCCCUUCCUGCUUUGCUCCAUGUAUGAGGAGGGGAAGGCCUGGCUGCAGGCUCUGAAGUGUCUAAAACACUGAGUGUUUGAUCCUGCUUGCAUCCAAGAAUCUGUUCAGCACUGUCCCAUGCUCACCCCAGGUCCUCAGUUCUUGGUGCCAGCUGGAGCAGUACUGCCAUUUGGAUGGAGGCAGGUGCUGUGCCAGGAGAAGGGUGCUGGGACCCCUUGCUGCAGGGGUUGGUGCUGACCCAGCUCUCUUGUUCAUAGCUGAUGUGGCUCGCUCUCCUCUACAGACUGCAAAUUGGGCACCACUUAACGUGUUUCCAAAAUGCAGAUCCAGGCCCAGGACGGUGGCAGCCAGCCAUUGCCUAGACGAGAUGAUCAGGCUGGUACAGCAGACUGGCUGUAAUGCAGCGAGGCUGCCUGGAGAUGGACAGAGGAGUGCAACAGACCCUGCUCCACUGGACCACCCUGCUUGCUCCCCCAUCCCGGCCCUACACGCUGGGCUCUCCUCCUCCAGCUCCUUGGAUGCUGUGUCCGUUAACUCAGAGCUUGAGUGGGACUUUGAAGACGUGACCGUGCAGUGGAGCCGGCCCAGCCCUGCUGUUCCGGCAUCUCCCACUCCAGAACAGCUCAGUGCUGUGCCCAGACACCUUCAGACAACCUGCAGCCUCUCCAAGACUCCUCGAGCACCCAACUCCCUGGCAGAGCAAGCAGCAGGCAGUAUGAGGAAAUAGCAGAAGAUGCUUCCUCGGGGGUCCCCUGGGAAACUUUGGGGCGCAAUGCCAGGCUGCUGUGCCUUGCCCAGAGUACUGCCUGGGUGGAGCAGUGAUGGCUCUUGGCAUCUCGUUUUGCCCUUGUCCUGCUGCAGCAAGGUGCAUGGCUCUCCCUUCCCUGGUGCUGUUUGCUACAUCCCUGGGAUUGGGCAUGGGGGAGAUACAGCCUCACAGCCGUGCUUAACCCCAGCAGUCUCCUUAGGCUGGGCUGGUGUUUUGCCCAGCAUUUGGUAUUACAAGCCCAGGCUAAGGAGAGCAUCCCAGUAAUGCUCUGCAGACUCUAGAAUUGAAGGCUGCUGAUCUGCCCAGCAAGGCAGUAGGUGGGGACAGUCCCUACCGCAGCCUCCCACAGGUCCCUGGGCUGCUAAACAUUAGUGCUGAAAGCCAGGGAUCAGUGAGAAACAAACCCAUAUUUGGGUUUGUAUGGUAGUAUGGUAGGUAGGUAUGUAAGGUAGUAUGUGCUUUAGGUGCUAUAUAUGGGGGCAUUGACAUGGAGGGGCAUGCUCACAGAGCAUGGUCUACCUGGCAGGUACUGUCAGCUCCCACUGACAACCAUAGCGACAGUGCUGCAGAUGCCUUGAAUGGGCAGGCAAAUUACUGGUCAAAGCUGAACUUCGUGCCCUGAGAUGAUUUUUGUGCCUCCAGAGCAGUGUGGUGCAGACCAGAGGAAGCUGCAGAAACAUAGGUGCCCAAGCAAAGGUCAGGAGGAAGCAGCCAGUUUGCAUUCCUGGCGUUGGACCUGUUGGAGUGCCUUGGGGCCAUGUGUGAGCUAGUGAGCAGCUGCAGUGUGUGGGACCCCCAGGACCCCAUAGCCCACACUAAUGCAUUUGUUACACAUGAAGUCCUGCCUUGUCUAGAACCUCAUCUGUGUCUUUCAAAGCUGCAGCAUGCCUUCCUGCCCCAGCCCCUGGGAUGCUGGCAGGAGGAGCACAGGGCUUGCUGGACAUUAGCUCUGAGCUGUCUGUGUCAGCAGAGGUGUACAGAAGGAUCCAGGAUGGGGAUUCUAGAGCCUGCCUGGCUGCUGUUCUGUUCCUCUGUGUUACAGAGCAUGGAGGAAGGGAAGAGCCUCAUGCACACAGGAGAGAUGGAGAACACAGCCAGGGCCAGCCCAAGGGCCAUGACCCUUCUGUGCAGGCACCUCAUGCACCACGUGAGCCAUAUCUACUGGCCAGCAUGCAUGCAACCUGCUGCUGGCCUCUGUGACUGCCCAGCUCCUGGCACAGCCUGCUGCCAGUUUAGCUGGAGCUUCACUCUUUGCUGGGAGCUCUCGAAGAGAUGCCCCUGAGAUAGGUAGUGGCAGCUCCUAUGAGGAGUAACAGCAGGGAAAGAGCCUUCCCUGUAGCCCCGGUCUGAUGGUGUCUCCCGUGGCCUUUUCUGAAGUGCCAGACACUGAGCUGUCCUUCUUUCCCAAAGGUACUCAGCCUGCCCUUCAGGCUCUGCUCAUGCUAAAGAAACUGGAAGAAGGAAAGAAGGAAGUACUGUACAGCCAGAGACUGUGGCAUUUCAUUGCCAUGAUUUAAUCUCAGCAGCGUGUCCUGCCUGGUGCUGCCUUUCCUCCAGGUGAAUGGCUGAGCCAAUGUCUGCCUUGGGCAGUGGAAAAUGCACCGCUUGUUAACAGGGUGAGGGAUGGCGAGCUGGGGUGGCCAGACCCUGCUUGGUUUGCCUGUAGCAGCAAAAGGAGACUUUGCAGAGCUCAUGUUGAUAAGAAGCCUCUGCAUUCAUGUUUCUAAUGGCCUGAGCCGAACUGCUGAGUGCUCAGGCUUAGAAAUCCAGACGCUAGACAAUGGAAAGGCUGGAAACAUAAAAGAAAGGAAAUUCUUCUGCUGUAUUGCCUUUCCUAUGGCGAUAAGAUAACACAAAGUGAAACAAAAGUCUCUGCUGCAGACUGUGGGGUGGGCACCUCAGCUAUUUUCUAAAGCAGCAGGAGCAUGUCUGCACAAGCUGAGAUCGCCAAAGCUGUUCAGGGUGCGCACAGUGUGUGUGGCAUUCAGACAGAUGCGCAAUGGUCAACUGAAUUUGCAGUGCUUUGCAACUCACCACCUCUUUGAGUCUCAAAGCAACAGGUAACUUGGAGUCCUCCUGCUCCAUCACACAGGCAAGUCAGAGGUGGGAAUCAACUCUCACCACUUUCCCACCCUUGUCUGUAGGCUUAUGUGCUGUCCUUCAGAGCCUUUUGGAAGCCAUAGGGACUCCAGGCAGCACUGGCUGGGCUGUGUCCUGCUUUCCCUCUGCUGGUUUUAAAGGGAGACAAAUCAUUGAGGGCAAAUAAUAAAGCAUUUGGAGUUAUGUACUUGCUUUGGGCUGCCUUUAGCUUUCUGUGUAGCUAUGCCGCUGGCUGCUUGCCAGCUCCUGCCAAAGCCAUCCAUGUCCUUGACUUAUGCACUGACAAGAUAAACCAAAUCAUCAGUCACUGAAGAAACUAA